GAACGCUGGCGGCGUGCCUAAUACAUGCAAGUCGAACGCUCUUUUCUUAUCGAACUUCGGUUCACCGAGAAAAGGGAGUGGCGAACGGGUGAGUAACACGUGGGUAACCUACCCAUCAGCGGGGGAUAACACUUGGAAACAGGUGCUAAUACCGCAUAAUUCUUUUCUUCGCCUGAAGGGAAGAUGAAAGACGCUUUUGCGUCACUGAUGGAUGGACCCGCGUCUGAUUAGCUAGUUGGUGGGGUAGAAGCCUACCAAGGCGACGAUCAGUAGCCGGCCUGAGAGGGUGGACGGCCACACUGGAACUGAGACACGGUCCAGACUCCUACGGGAGCAGCAGU
RNAcentral lists this ribosomal RNA (341 nucleotides) under uncultured bacterium. Its description in RNAcentral is "bacterial SSU rRNA". It matches the Rfam family "Bacterial small subunit ribosomal RNA", at positions 31 to 355 of the family's 1533-position model. The record is from RNAcentral.